Molecule: RNA transcript, 2611 nt
Organism: Lethenteron reissneri (Far Eastern brook lamprey)
Lineage: Eukaryota; Metazoa; Chordata; Hyperoartia; Petromyzontiformes; Petromyzontidae
Source: RefSeq, a predicted model, not a curated record
CCAAAUGCCGGUUAUGCUUAGAUAUCGAAUGUGAAGUCAUCGUACCGUGCAAUCUGAAGUUGGAAGUUCGAUGAGGGCUGUCACUAAAGCACGAGUGCUUAUUCUCUGAGUAGAUGCAACUUGUAAAUAUACUCAACAAAGUUUUUUUUGGCACUGAUUUCCAGUGGCCGUUCAAGGAUCCAUCCAUCGUUUGCAGAGGUGGUGCUGGUGGUUAUGAUUUAAAUACAGGUGAGAAGAGCCCUGCCUGACCCAAACGUGAGCGGUGGUGGUUGAAAGGAACAGCUGAAGGGAGCGGAGCGCAGGUGCGAGAUUGUCUAGUUGAGAAGAAACGGGACGGAUUUAAACUCGUGGCUGACGUGGGCAAUAAUGGCCAACCAAAUUGAGAUGGAACCCAUGGAAUUCUUGCAGAGCUGCUUACAGCAUCUGGACAAGCACUAUCGCGAUGCGAGCAUGUUAAAGCCCCCACACAGCAGAAGCUGUCAACGUGCAGCGAACGCCGGCGAAGCUGCGGGAGGAGUAUUUGGCUGCCACCCUGGUUUCGCCGCCGUUCGGAAGCUCCGCGGGAGGCUCCGCGGUCUCGCCGAGCGCCGCUCGCGGCUGCUGCUCGCUAGGGACCGCGUUCGGUGCUUGGCCUCCGCCUCCGCGUUUGCGCGCCGGGCGGCCGGGCUGCUGGGCUGCGAGCGGAAAGGGCUCCGCGUCCUGCGUGCCCAGCUGCAGGCCGGCGGCAGGACGCCACCCGCGCAGUGCCAACCGCGAGCCCGACUGCUGAACGGACUCACCCAGGAGCUGAUGGAUUUCUCGGCUCGGUGGAGCGGGCUUUGCCGGAGUGCGAUGAGCGACUUGGACGUGCCGACUCGCGUGCAGACGGCCGCAAGCUGCCCUGAAACGAUGGACAGUUGGACCUGCAGCAUUCUGCCUCGGCCGAUGUGCUGCUUUAACAUUUUCCCUUUGGCCAAGCAGGCGCUGCAGGGAUUGACUUGCAUGGAGAAAUUGCUGAGCACCAGACUAUGCCUAAUUGCCAUAUGCCCUCAGGUCACGUUGGAAAACGAUGUCUGCAAAUCCAUUGCGGAGUUUAACAAAACGGUGCUGGAGUUAAAGGCUAGCGAUAUUUUUGAUUGCUUAAUUUACAAGACUGUUUGUGUUUAUGACCUGCCGGGCAAUGCUCAUGGACACUGUCUGCAGAGUGCAGAGUUUAAUGUGAAGGUUUUCUCCAUGGAAAGGAUUCUCAAGACGCUGGCAAACGAACGUGCAUCAACGUGCGCGCUGACUCUGCACGACACAAUCUCACAAGUUAAGACCGCUUUUAAAACGGGGAGAAACGCAAAAAAUCGUUGGUUCAAGUGACAAUCCAGAAGGAGACUGUCAUUAUUUGGAAAGUUUUUCUAGCUCUGAUGGUAAUCAGGCAACAUUAGGCCAGAUGCUCUCCAAUGACAGUGCGGGUUUUAAGAGUAAAACUGUUGAUUCUUCCAAGAAAGCACCAGGCAUUGUUCGUGACCUUAAACAGCAGUUUUUUUAUGAAUAUGAUUUCAUUCACAAUAUUUUGCCAAAUCUUACAUGUGUCACAAACCUUCCAUUUGCUCAUUCUGAUUUUCGAAAGACACAACAGUCAUACACAAGCAUAAGGGGUGCAAAAUGGAUUAACAGCAACGAUGAUAGCCACUUUGAAUCACACAGCCAAGCAGUGGACCAAGGUAAGGUGGUAGACACUGCUCGUGCCAUGGCACUGAGGGACGGGAAACACUUGGCCUGGCAAUACCAGCAAUGGUUGUGGCAUGCACUGUCGUGGAGUCUCGUGGAAUGUCUCUUCUCACUGGUUCCAGUCAAAAGCCACAGUUGUGGUGAGAGUCUGGGCUAUCUCCCCUACCACCCUGCCUCUGUGGUGUCCACCCUGGUUGAAGACCUCCAGAAGGCAAGCAGGCAAGAGGAUUUGCAGUUGGAGUGUCGGAACUGUUUACAAGCCCUCUCCGCAUACGCGCAAGCUUGGCUUGCCAUUACGUGCUGGGACACAGAGUUUUGUCAAGCUCUGGGCUCAACCUUGAGCAAUCGCCAUUCCCUGGAUGAUGAGGGAGCCGGUGUCUGCAGAACCAGAACGGCCAGGAUGUUCCAUCAAUCAUUGCUUCCUCUUCGAUCUGUGAUGGGCAAGUAACACAUUCAUUUAUAUUACCUUACCUCACCCCACUGACUCACAAGCGAUAAGGCUGCUCAUGAAUAAACUCAGAUGAUCAUCAACUCAGGUUAUCACCAUUUUAGGUUGUAUAAAAUGAAUACCACCUUGCGAGAAGCCAACUGUCGUUUGUGCUAUAGAAUGAUUCCAACAACAAUUUGUAAUGUAUACUACUGGCUAAGGUCCCCCAAUGGAGAUGAAUUCUGCCCAAUAUUCAUGAAAAUGGGGACACAUGAUUUAGUUGUACCUUACGUGGGGUUGUGGCGGUUAGCAUACCACGUUUUGAACCCAUGGCUAACACACUAGUAGUGAGUGAUAUCUGAACAGGUCCUGGGCCUCCCACUUCACUAACCCGCACUGAUGAACAUGGCGAUCAAAUAAAUAACCUCCAUGACCAACCUGGCCUGGAGGAGGCCUCAUCCAGCAGCAGUGUGAUAAUUCAUUAUG